CUUUGCUCCAAGCGCCCUGGGUGGGUAGAGGCCAGGUCCAGUAUGAGGAGCCCUGGUUCCCUGAGGUAGAUGGAGCCAGGCAGAAGUUGAGUAGACAUGGGGGCUGCAGCCCUGGCCCCACUGCCCGACUCUCUCUCUGCAUUUCAGGAGCUGGCAAGAUCCAAGGGGGUCCCCAAGGCCCUGAGGCUGCACUGAGCACCCCUUUCCUGCCCAUUUUCGGAUGCAGCGGUGUCCUGGACCCCUGGGGAGAGGUGACCCCCCCCCCCAGCAGGAAGCUGGGCCUGGUUUCUGUCCCUCUGCAGCCACAAGGCCUGGCCAGGAUGCUGGGAGCACCACACCCUGGAGACUCAGCUCACCAAGGACUCAGGGGCGGGGGAUCCCCUGGCACCUGGGAAGCUGGGCCCCCGGCCCCCUGGACUCCCACCCAGACACCAUCUCAACCCAGGCACUUCCCCCGGGCCAGAGGGCAGCCUGGCAGCCCUGGACUCUGGGAGGGCCGAGUCUGGGGAGCUGGAGGACGUCACAUUCCACUCUUGAUGAUGCCGCCCCAGUCCUACAAUCUGGACAGCAGGAGAAGCUGCCCAUUUCCUCCAUCUCCGGUCCCUGGAGGUUCCCCGGAUCCUUUCAGGGGAGACCAUGGGCCCUAAACGAUCUUCAUAACAAAACUGAGAAGUGGCCUGGCUUCUUCACUGUGCACCUGUGUGCUGGGAUCCAGCGUGGUCUGACUGGGCAGCUCCUUUCCUUCCCUGACGCUGCUCCAGGAGAAAGAAGGACCAGGGUCAAUCCGGGGUGCCCCAGGUGGAUCAGCGAAUGCCCCUGAAGCCAGGUGCCAGUUGCAUCCCCGUCCGAUGCCCCCACCCCAGUCUCCUGAGCCUCAUUAGUCACCCCUCAUUUUCCUCUGGGGACCCCAGGCCCCAGCUCCUGUCUGGUUAGAGGCUGAAGGGGUCUGAGCGACACCUACCCUAGGGGACCUCCGGAGGGGUCUUGGUGUCCUCUGACUUCUAUCCUCAGAAGGGAGCUCAGAAUGCAGCUGAGGCUUCCCCUGGGGCCCAGGGUGUCUGUGUCCGAGCCACAGCCAGAGUGUGCCCUGGAGAGCCGCUGGGAUGCACGGUGGGCUCUCGUCAUCCUGUCCCCACUCCAGGCUUAGGCUGGAGCCGUGAUGGCACCGCUGCACUCCAACCUGGGCAACAGAGUGAGACCCUGUCUCUAUAAAAUAAAAACAAAAAUAAAGAAGAGCAUGUGGUUUCUGCAGUUUCCUGGCCAAAAAUGCAUAACUCCAAUCUCAAUCAUAAGAACACAUCCAACGUCCUCAACAAGGGGAGGUUCUACACACACCUGCCCAGCGCCCCUCAAAAGUGUCAAGGCGUGAAAGACAUGGAGGCAUGUAGAAGACGGGAGAGCCAGUGUGGCCUGCGGGACGGGUCCUUGCCUGCCUCGCCGGCCCUCCACAGACAGGACAGGGACAGGUCGUCAGCUGUCACGGAGGCCCUCGCAGUUUUCUGAAUGUGGACUUGCUGUUCCUGCCCAUGGCGUCGUCCACGGACUCGACAGCACCCCACUGUCCAUCACACCCCCACUGAUGCUGCUUCCCACAGCAGGACUCAUCCCAUGCUCAGGCAGUGCUCCCAGGAGCAGUGGGUUAAUAGGGCGUGGGACGGCCCCCUGAAGACCAGUUAUGGUGCCGGCCAGGAGGCCCUCUGAAAGGACGGGCGCAACCCCGCAGAACAGACCAGGUGCUCACCAUCCAUGUCUGGUGCCGCUUCUCUGUGGCGAUGGUAUCCAGGAAUCAUGGGUGGGAGUCACGGCCACCGUCCCUGUCGCACCAGCCCGCCUGCUCACACAGCCACCGUUCACUCUAGCUUGAAGGUCCUGCUUCCUCAGGGAGGAGCACUCCCUCCAGGGUCGAGGUGCUGGCCGUGUGGAGUUCGACGUCGGGACUGUCCCCAGGGGCCUCUCUUCCCACUGAAUCGACAGAGAGAAUGUGAGCUCGCUGUCCGGCGGGCGGGGCCGGGGAUCCUGUCCGCCGAGGGGACACCGGAUCGCUGCAGAGAGAGGACUAGACCCAGAGUCCAGCCAAGACCAGAACUGAGACCGGGCGACCAGCAGAGCCUGCACAAUAAUAAUGCUUCGUUUUGCAAAUGUAUUUUGUUCUUUUAUUGUAUAUAUUUAUCAUGUCCAAUGUGAUGUUUUUAAACGUGUUUACAUUGUGGUUAAAUCAAGUGGCAUAACACACAUGACUUCACA
RNAcentral lists this long non-coding RNA (2244 nucleotides) under Pan troglodytes (chimpanzee). RNAcentral describes it as "long non-coding RNA NONPTRT002485". The record is from RNAcentral. Lineage: Eukaryota; Metazoa; Chordata; Mammalia; Primates; Hominidae.